CUUUAUUGGAGAGUUUGAUCCUGGCUCAGGACGAACGCUGGCGGCGUGCCUAAUACAUGCAAGUCGAGCGG
This 71-nucleotide ribosomal RNA is filed under the name Paenibacillus sp. LC231. Its description in RNAcentral is "partial 16S ribosomal RNA". It matches the Rfam family "Bacterial small subunit ribosomal RNA", at positions 1 to 69 of the family's 1533-position model. Lineage: Bacteria; Bacillati; Bacillota; Bacilli; Caryophanales; Paenibacillaceae. The record is from RNAcentral.